GCGUUCCACAGGGCGGAUGCCACUACCAAGAAGGCCCUCUGCCUGGUUCCCUGUAACUUCUCUUCUCGCAGCGAGGGAACCGCCAGAAGGCCCUCGGCGCUGGACCUCAGUGUCUGGGUUGAACGAUGGGGGUGGAGACGCUCCUUCAGGUACACAGGACAGAGGCCGUUUAGGGCUUGAAAGGUCAGCACUAACACUCUGAAUUGUGCUCAGAAACGUAUCUGUGAAGCAACAAAACAUGGCGUUCCUAUAAUGUGGAGUUUGAGCCACAGGCCCUUUGGCAACUGUGUACACUAAUAUGUGAAGGGCUGCAUGGGGAUGAAGGGGCCAGCUGUGUCCCCGCCCACCUGGCCAGCCUCUGCUAGGUGGAGAGUGACAGUCUCACCAUCAAACACAACCAGUGAUGAGAGCUUUGAGGCCCUUCUGCUUCAUGUGCUUCCUCCACGAGAGGUCUGAAGGGCAGCAACAUGAGAAAGGCUCCCUGCUUGUGGAAUGCUCUCCCCAGGGAGGCUCAGUUGGCGCCUUCAUUAUACACCUCUAGGCACCAGGCAGAAAUAUUCCUCUUUGGCUGAUUAAUCCCCUUUUAAAUGUGGUUGUGGGCUGUGGGGGAGUUUUGCCAUUGAUAACGUCAUUUUCCACCUAACCAACUGGGAAGCAAAUGGAAGAAAAAUAAAAACUUGGUCAAUAGAGUGUCAUUCUUACUGUGGACGUUCUCCCCAACCAAGAGGGAUCUAAAGAGCCUCAUUUGUGUAAAUCAGCCUUAACUUCCUUUACUAAUGGAUAAUAAUUCCUCCUCUUAAGUUGUUGGACAUUUUUGGUUGCAGAAUGAGCCCAUAAACUGAUCAUCCAGAGGCAUACCUACCUACAUAGCAUAAUGGAUUUGUCUCCAGUCUAUUUGCAGCGUGAAAGGACUCCAACACAGCUUGAAUCUCAGGUAAGACUCUGGUCAGAAAGAGUAGAAUAUCAUAUUCAAAUAAAACGAGAACGUAUUCUUUACCAUUUUCCGAUAUCCCCUCCAUCUUGGUGCUUUGACAAAUCAGGUUGGCCAGAGUUUCCAUGACUAUAAUGAAUGGCAGAGGCGCCAGGUUGCCCCCAAGACUGGGCGGGCCCAGAGAGCCCACGGUGGAGGAGGCCGAGCGUGCGGGAGGAGCCACUGGACCUGCAGCGUGUGUGGCAUGCAUAGGGCAGCCUCGAGAUUGAGGGGUCUGCUCCCCUGAAAACAAAGGUACCUUCAGCCUCCCAGAGCUGCCACGCCUGCUACCUGGUGGCCCAAUGCAGAUGCAUUUUGCAGCUCCUAAAGACAAAAGGAAAGUGAAUCAGUCAUGUGUAGUAUACUGGUUUCUUUCUUUCUUUCUUUCUUUCUUUGAAUAACUUGCAUUGGGUUUUAGAAACAAGGAUCAUAGGAAUAAUAAAUGAUUUAAAUAAAUAAAUGGACUAAGUCUUCACGUGCCAUUUUUAUAUCACAAAAGUAGCAUAAUAAAUUUGUAGUAAUGUCAAUGACAAAUGGUUCAUUAUUAGUGGAAAAUAUGUUCUUGGUUUUUGAAUUGGUUUAAACAAAAGCAAAGGGAAAACAGAAAAAACGAAGUUAACAAAUAAGUGUGGUUUACUGUUCUGACUUGAAAUGUAAAUAUUUGGUGUGUUUAUUUUUUGCUAAGGUUUUAAGGUUUGUUUUAUUUUCCUUUUAAAAGUGUGCUUUGCUGUCAUGCAUAUUUUGUGUGGACAAGCUUAUAAAUGGAAACAAUUUGAAACAGUGUGAAUCAGUGUUUCUCAAACAGGGAAAUUACAGGAAAUAUAUACACAUACUUUGUGAGGCAUUUGAUGUAGGCAACGGGAAAAUAUGAAAGAAAAAGAAAAUUCUGAUUAAACUGGCAAGGCUCUCACAAGACCUUCAGAGCAAAUUCCCAUAGUUAGCUUGAGAAAAGAUGAACUAUGGAACUCCUUAACACAAAUAAAAUGCUGUGGCAAAGAAUUUAGCAGUUGCCAAAGAUGGAUUGGAUAUCAACAGAGAUACCAGUAAUUGCAAGCUGAUUAUGCCCAAACUCUGUCUCCAUCUGCCACCAUUUACAGCUUAUCCACACUUCCUCUUCUUCUGCUGCUUUCCUCUGGAAAAACAGCUCUUUAUCGCUCAAUCGGAGCAAACAGCAAUCAGGUUUUCCAUGGAUUUAGAUUUAGCUCUGAUUUAGAGCUAAAGAGUGGCUUUUCCCUGGGAAAGGAGUAGAGCAAGGGGAAAACUACUUGGACCUGUGCUUUCUAGGCAUGGGACAAGCAGAAGUGCGGACAACCCCUAAGUGACUGGCUCUGCCCCUUCACCACUCUUUUGUGAAGCAGUAAUUGUCAGCUGUCUCAAAUGGGCCUUGAGGGUCCAAAGUUUGACAACCUCUGGUGUAAACUUACUCUCUAUAGCUAUAAAAAAUGUACAUGAGUCUCAGUGCAAUUCAAGAAAAAAAAUAGAUAAAAUGAAAUUAGAGGUUAAAAGAGUCUGGUUGCAUCUGUAACUUGCUAAUUCUUGUUUUCUUGUCAAAUUGUGACAGACAAAACAUACUAAAAAUCUGGAAGGAGAUGCUGCACACAUUCUGUUCAUGAAAUUUAUUUCUGAGCUCCAUUAAACCUAGCCAGACUAAUAAUUGAUGUGAGCAUCCGGUGGGGCUAGCUUAUAAGUCCUGGAACACUCUUUCUGUCUAGUAUCCAUGUCUAUAAUUCUUUCACAGAGGGAAGUGGCAGAAUUUGUUAUUGUCUUAGAAACCUGGACACUCUGCUAUCAGCCAGAAACACAAUGUGAGUCAUUCAGUUUUCUCCCCUUGAAGCAAGCUGGUGCUUGCCUAAUUGGUAUUUGAGGAGCUUGUUGAAGGGAGCAGGCUGACUGAUAAUGUCGUACAUGGGGUUUUCCCCCCAGAGUGCCCAGUUGUCCAACUAGCGUAGGAAUGCCAUCACUUUUCUGAACGUGCAACAUGGGGCACCACAGUUCUCCUUAGGACAGGAGUGGGGAACUGUGGCCCCCCAGAUGCUCUUGGUGUGGACUACAACUCCCCCUAUCCCUGACCAUGCCAUGAGGCAGUGGCGGGGGGGGGGGCAGUACCACCUGGAAGACACAGGAUCCCAAUCCUAGGCUUAAGACAUGUUUCAUGGGUACCAGAAUUUUUGCUGUCUUUCAUAUUUCUUCCAGAGCCUUGCAGCCAAGGAUUUAGCUGUUUUUGUUAUCAGAUUAAUAUUUGAAUUUCAGCUCUUCUUAGCUCUGCAGAGUUGCACCACGAACAUCUCUGUUGUUUGCCUAUCGUCUUUCCUUUCCCUUUCAGAAAAGCCACUCUAUCCUUCUGCUCUGCCCCUCAUGGCCGGCUUCCAGCCUUGUUUCCCAGGGCCCCUGAUUCAUCUCUGAUCCCUUUUCUAAGAUCCUUCACCUGCUCUGAUACUGCUAUGAUCUAGGCAGCACUGCUGUGUGCUGGUGUUAUAAUUGUCUGUGGUGUACAGAGUUUUUUGGUCCCAUCAUGGCAGCAAUUCAUGCUAAUGGUGGACACUAGUAUGCCAGAAACAAAGCUCAAUAGAUUAACUAAAAAAGGCCCUGGGAGCCUAAAGCAAUCACUUGCAGAGGAGGCUUCCCAUAGUAUUUCUGGAGGAAUAAUUGCUCUUUGAUGUCCUGAGGGUAGGGGGAGUGGGAUCACACACUUGCCAUCUCCAUUUCCAACCUCCAUGUGUUCCGUUUACAUGCACUGAUUCGUACAAUGGAACAAGUUCUUUAUGUACAAUCAAGAACCUUGGAAAAGCAAAGAUCCCAGUCAUGUGCAUGUAUACACAUAUAAACUAUGCCCAUGUUAAGCUGAACAUUCUUGUGUCUGGGAUUGGGAACAACACAAGUGAUCUGACUUCCCAUCCCACAUGUUCAAUGAAACAUUUGAAUAGUGUUACCUUGCCUCUAUUAUCAGAUGUUUGCUAUUGAAGAGGUUUUGCAGAAUUUUGGCGCGCUAUAAAAAUAUGUAGAAAGCCAGUUUGACAAACACUGGCAAAGGAUGGGUAAAAUAAAUGCAUACCAUGAGCAAUGAUUGCUGCAUUAUAUCUCCUUCAAAUCUAUGAAAAACUAUUGUCUGUACACAGCCUCAGGAUACUAAUAUUCUGAGGUAUUUAAUUGUCCAAGUUCUUAAGCAAUUAUGAAGAUUAGCAAAGUCUAUUAGAACUUCUAAGUAACCUUGCAUCCACUUUCUAUACAAGAAGUGAUUUACUUGAUUAAAAUGUUGCCACUGGAAACAUUAAAAAAAUGUAAUCCCCUUAAUGUAUAGUCAUUCAGUUGUCGUAAUGAUUUCAGGCAGUGUUGUCAAGAUUUUCAAAGUGAAGAGGGCUUCAAAGUUUCAAUACUCAAUGGCUAAACAAUAAGAUGCCACAUAAUUUUGAUGUCAGUUUUGAGUCACUUCUGAACAGCAUGAAUCACAGAGGGCCAAACUACCGUAGUUGUGAUGCAAUUAGCAAUGUCUAGGUGCAAAGCCCCCAACUAGAAAUGGGGCUCUAGCAGGCUGUGGGGCUCAAAUCGUUGUCUCUGCUGUGCUCCUAUUUUCACUGGGGCAAAGCCUCCUAUUUGCAAUAGGGAGUAAUUGUAUUGUGUGAUACUCUCCUGUUUACAACAGUGAGCACUUGUGCACACAUUAGCAUUGAAGCCCAGUAACAGACAAUAGUGAGUGAAACAGACACACAAAGAAAAAUUGUACAAUAAUUAAUAAGGCACACUGGCAGAUAAAUUAAUAAAAUAACAAAAUAGCUUGAGACGGUGUAAAGGAGAUUACAAACUCAGAACUAUUCUAAAGAACAAUUCUAAGCUAUUCUAUUCACUGGCUCUAAUAAGAACAAAUAAGCUACACUUAGGGAACAAUCCAAUAUCAUGAUCCACUGUGUGAGGAUGGUUAGGAUCCAGUGGAUCUCUGGCUGAGCCAGAAGGUUCUUGGCACAUCCAGAGGAAACCAGCUUAACUCCCUCAGGCUCAGCUCUUCCAGAGAUAUGCCAGUGUAUCUCUUCCCUUCCAUCCCAGUGGACUAACAAGCCUGACAGAUCUUAAGCCAGUGUAAGCCCUGAAAAAUGGCAUUCUGGUGGCAUGACAUAGCAGGAUGUCAGGGGCAUUUAGGAUAAGGUUACCAGACGUCCCCGUUUUCCAGAGACAGUUCCCGGAUUUACAGAUCAGUCCCCAUACAAAAUGCAUUGAAGUUGAAAAGUGUCCCCGGAUUCAUUGAAAAAAAAUCUGGUAACCUUAACUUAGGAUGGAUCUUGUGCCUGUUCAGCUUGGUCAUCUGACUUGACAAUUCAGGGUAAAUUCAGACAACCAAAAAGGUGGUGUAAUUCAUAAAGGCUCACUUUCGCUCUGCUAGGCCUGGGCAGGCUUAGGCAGCAGUAGCCCAGCUGCUGAACAGCUCGGAUCUGGUGAAAUGUUAUGUCUGUUUAAUUUAGGCUAAGCUUUUUUCAUGCCAACUUCUUGUGUAGAGGAUGGCUCCCUUAGACAGACCCAAGCAAAACAGAAAAAAUAAAGCAGAAUUAAACCCAAAUGAACAAAUGAAAAAGAGCUGUAGUAAUUUGGAAGAAAGGGACGUGGGUGGCGCUGUGGGUUAAACCACAGAGCCUACGGCUUGCCGAUCAGAAGGUCAGCGGUUCGAAUCCCCACGACGGGAUGAGCUCCCGUUGCUCGGUCCCUGCUCCUUGCCAACCUAGCAGUUCAAAAGCACGAAGUGCAAGUAGAAGGUAAACGGCGGGAAGGUAAAUGGCGUUUCCGUGCGCUGCUCUGGUUCGCCAGAAGCGGCUUAGUUAUGCUGGCCACAUGACCCGGAAGCUGUCUGAGGACAAAUGCCGGCUCCCUCGGCCAAUAAAGUGAGAUGAGCACCACAACCCCAGAGUCGGCCACAACUGGACCUAAUGGUCAGGGGUCCUUUUACCCUUUACCUUUAAUUUGGAAGAAAAGGGAGACAUGAGUAAGGAACUAGGCUGAAAUGAUGUGUCCAGCAAAAGCCUCCAGCAGAACUUUUUAACACUGCUGCCCUUCAAAGACAAAGAGCAAGAAGCACGAGACAAAAACACUAUUUGAUAUCUGUCAAUUUCCCUCCCAUAGCACUGGGAUUUUUUAAGGUUGGGGUAAAUCAUUACAGUCUUGACCUGCCUGCCCCAAUGAGGCUCUCUUGGCUCCUGUCCCCCACCCUGACCUUUGCCCUCUCUUGCCACCACUCUGGCAUUUUCUUUAUAUUGUCAGCCUAGAGACACUCAUUUUGCUUUUCACAGAUACUCAUCUGCAAUGUUUUUUGCUGUCUGAGACGCCAAGGAACCAUGAAGUGCUUUGAGGGAGAUCCUGCUUCAACCUGGAGCACCUUGUACACCUUGGACAAGCCCAGAAAACCUCUGAAGCCCCUCCCCCCUUGAUUUGGCCUUUGGGCUUCUACGUUAAAAGUGAG
Molecule: long non-coding RNA, 6410 nt
Filed under: Podarcis lilfordi (Lilford's wall lizard)
Lineage: Eukaryota; Metazoa; Chordata; Lepidosauria; Squamata; Lacertidae
Source: RNAcentral